RNAcentral lists this ribosomal RNA (244 nucleotides) under uncultured bacterium. Its description in RNAcentral is "partial 16S ribosomal RNA". It matches the Rfam family "Bacterial small subunit ribosomal RNA", at positions 15 to 240 of the family's 1533-position model. The record is from RNAcentral.
GAUCCUGGCUCAGGAUGAACGCUAGCUACAGGCUUAACACAUGCAAGUCGAACGGAACUUCUUUAAAGGAUUUCUUCGGAAUGAAUUUGAUUAAGUUUAGUGGCGGACGGGUGAGUAACGCGUGAGUAACCUGCCUCUAAGAGGGGAAUAACAUUCUGAAAAGAAUGCUAAUACCGCAUAAUAUAUAUUUAUCGCAUGGUAGAUAUAUCAAAGAUUUAUCGCUUAGAGAUGGACUCGCGUCCGA